Molecule: non-coding RNA, 1392 nt
Organism: Castor canadensis (American beaver)
Lineage: Eukaryota; Metazoa; Chordata; Mammalia; Rodentia; Castoridae
Source: RefSeq, a predicted model, not a curated record
CGGAACCCUGUACCCCGGCCCGUCCCCCGCCGGUCCUGGUCCUGCAGCCUCCAGCCCUGGUGUGCAGGCGCCAUGGCGUUGCUGGGCCGGCUGUGCGGUGCUCGGGUGACCCGGCUACCCUGGGGCCUCGGCCCGCAGCGGCUUUUCAGUUAUGGAACAAAAACAUUGUAUCAAAACAUCAAUGCUCCACAGUCUAAAUUUUUUCCACCCCUUCAAAAACUCAUGCUGCCACCUAAUACUUUUCAAGGAAAAGUGGCAUUCAUUACUGGAGGAGGUACUGGCCUUGGCAAAGCAAUGACAACUUUCCUGUCCAACCUGGGUGCUCAGUGUGUGAUAGCCAGCCGGAACAUUGAUGUUUUGAAAGCUACUGCAGAACAAAUUUCUUCUCAAACUGGAAAUAAGGUUCAUGCAAUUCAGUGUGAUGUGAAGGAUCCUGAUAUGGUUCAUAAUGCUGUGUUGGAACUGAUCAAAAUUGCAGGACAUCCUGAUAUUGUGAUAAACAAUGCAGCAGGGAAUUUUAUUUCUCCCACUGAACGACUCUCUCCUAAUGCUUGGAAGACCAUAACUGACAUAGUACUAAAUGGCACAGCCUAUGUGACGCUAGAAAUUGGAAAGCAACUAAUUAAAGCACAGAAAGGAGCAGCAUUUCUUGCUAUUACAACCAUCUAUGCUGAGACUGGGUCGGGUUUUGUAGUACCAAGUUCUUCUGCCAAAUCAGGCGUGGAAGCUUUGAACAAGUCUCUUGCAGCUGAAUGGAGUAAAUAUGGAAUGCGAUUCAACAUAAUUCAACCAGGGCCCAUAAAAACCAGAGGUGCCUUUAGCCGUUUGGACCCAACUGGAGCAUUUGAGAAAGAGAUGAUUGACAGAAUUCCCUGUGGUCGGCUGGGGACUGUGGAAGAGCUUGCAAAUCUUGCUACUUUUCUUUGCAGUGAUUAUGCUUCUUGGAUUAAUGGAGCAGUCAUUCGAUUUGAUGGUGGAGAGGAAGUGUUUAUAUCAGGCGAAUUCAACUCCCUAAGGAAGGUCACCAAGGAGGAGUGGGAUGCCAUAGAAGGACUCAUCCGGAAGACGAAAGGCUCCUAAGGCUACUUUGUCUUCAUCUUGGAUACAGUAAAAGUUAGGGACUAGAAACAACAUAAACUGACUGUAAUCUUUUGAUUGACAAACUUAGUGAAGAAACAACACCACCAGGAAUCCAGAAGCCCCUUCUAGACCCCCAUCAAGACUCCCCUGCCUCCUCCCUAGUAUUAAAGCACAGUCUUGGCACUUAGCACCAUAGUUAAGCUGCCUUUGAAAUUUAUACAAAUAUAAUCUUGCAAUAUGUAUUUUUCUGCUUUUGGCUCUUUUCUGUGUAGCAAUUUUAUGCAUUCACAUUGUUCUAUACUAUUCUUUUGA